CCGGCGCACGGGUGAGUAACACGUAUGCAAUCCACCUGUAACAGGGGGAUAACCCGGAGAAAUCCGGACUAAUACCCCAUAAUAUGGGCGCUCCGCAUGGAGAGCCCAUUAAAGAGAGCAAUUUUGGUUACAGACGAGCAUGCGCUCCAUUAGCCAGUUGGCGGGGUAACGGCCCACCAAAGCGACGAUGGAUAGGGGUUCUGAGAGGAAGGUCCCCCACAUUGGAACUGAGACACGGUCCAAACUCCUACGGGAGGCAGCAGUGAGGAAUAUUGGUCAAUGGUCGGCAGACUGAACCAGCCAAGUCGCGUGAGGGAAGACGGCCCUACGGGUUGUAAACCUCUUUUGUCGGAGAGUAAAGUACGCUACGUGUAGUGUAUUGCAAGUAUCCGAAGAAAAAGCAUCGGCUAACUCCGUGCCAGCAGCCGCGGUAAUACGGAGGAUGCAAGCGUUAUCCGGAUUUAUUGGGUUUAAAGGGUGCGUAGGCGGCACGCCAAGUCAGCGGUGAAUUUCCGGGCUCAACC
This 524-nucleotide ribosomal RNA is filed under the name uncultured Bacteroidales bacterium. RNAcentral's name for it is "bacterial SSU rRNA". It matches the Rfam family "Bacterial small subunit ribosomal RNA", at positions 95 to 614 of the family's 1533-position model. Lineage: Bacteria; Pseudomonadati; Bacteroidota; Bacteroidia; Bacteroidales. The record is from RNAcentral.